Molecule: long non-coding RNA, 240 nt
Organism: Salvelinus sp. IW2-2015
Lineage: Eukaryota; Metazoa; Chordata; Actinopteri; Salmoniformes; Salmonidae
Source: RefSeq, a predicted model, not a curated record
GCUACGCAGAGGAAGUCGUUUUACCUGGGAGGAAAGAAUGUUCUGGCUGUGAUGGAGAGCUACUUCAAUGACAACCAGUACCCCGAUGAAGCUAAGAGAGAGGAGAUCUCUAACGCCUGCAACGCUGUCAUCCAGAAACCAGGGAAGAAGCUAUCGACCUGGAGAGAGUCAGCUCUCUAAAAGUCUACAACUGGUUUUGCCAACCGACGCAAGGAGAUCAAGAGACGAGCUAAUAUGGUA